This 253-nucleotide ribosomal RNA is filed under the name uncultured bacterium. RNAcentral's name for it is "partial 16S ribosomal RNA". It matches the Rfam family "Bacterial small subunit ribosomal RNA", at positions 524 to 776 of the family's 1533-position model. The record is from RNAcentral.
UACGGAAGGUGCGAGCGUUAAUCGGAAUUACUGGGCGUAAAGGGUGCGUAGGUGGUUAUUUAAGUUAGAUGUGAAAUCCCCGGGCUUAACCUGGGAACUGCGUUUAAUACUGGAUGACUAGAGUACUGUAGAGGUUAGUGGAAUUUCCAGUGUAGCGGUGAAAUGCGUAGAUAUUGGAAGGAACACCAGUGGCGAAGGCGACUAACUGGGCAGAUACUGACACUGAGGCACGAAAGCGUGGGUAGCAAACAGG